RNAcentral lists this ribosomal RNA (402 nucleotides) under uncultured bacterium. RNAcentral's name for it is "bacterial SSU rRNA". It matches the Rfam family "Bacterial small subunit ribosomal RNA", at positions 355 to 774 of the family's 1533-position model. The record is from RNAcentral.
UCGGGAAUUUUGGGCAAUGGGCGAAAGCCUGACCCAGCAACGCCGCGUGAGGGAUGAAGUAUUUCGGUAUGUAAACCUCGAAAGAAUGGGAAGAAUAAAUGACGGUACCAUUUAUAAGCUCCGGCUAACUACGUACCAGCAGCCGCGGUAAUACGUAGGGAGCAAGCGUUGUUCGGAUCUACUGGGCGUAAAGGGCGCGUAGGCGGCGCGGUAAGUCACUUGUGAAAUCUCUGAGCUUAACUCAGAACGGCCAAGUGAUACUGCUGUGCUAGAGUGCGGAAGAGGCAACCGGAAUUCUUGGUGUAGCGGUGAAAUGCGUAGAUAUCAAGAGGAACACCUGAGGCGAAGGCGGGUUGCUGGGCCGACACUGACGCUGAUGCGCGAAAGCCAGGGGAGCAAACG